CUCGUAGGCGGUUCGUCGCGUCCGGUGUGAAAGUCCAUCGCUUAACGGUGGAUCCGCGCCGGGUACGGGCGGGCUUGAGUGCGGUAGGGGAGACUGGAAUUCCCGGUGUAACGGUGGAAUGUGUAGAUAUAUGGAGGAACACCGGUGGCGAAAGCGGCUCUCUGGUCUGUAACUGACACUGAGGCUCGAAAGCGUGGGGAGCAAACA
RNAcentral lists this ribosomal RNA (207 nucleotides) under uncultured bacterium. RNAcentral describes it as "partial 16S ribosomal RNA". It matches the Rfam family "Bacterial small subunit ribosomal RNA", at positions 568 to 774 of the family's 1533-position model. The record is from RNAcentral.